UCAAGUGGCCAGACAGCUUCUCCUUCAGCAGCAACAACAGCAGCAAGUUAGUGGAUUAAAAUCUCCCAAGAGGAAUGACAAACAACCAGCCCUUCAGGUUCCCGUGUCAGUGGCUAUGAUGACACCUCAAGUUAUCACUCCCCAGCAAAUGCAGCAGAUCCUCCAGCAACAAGUGCUGAGCCCUCAGCAGCUCCAGGUCCUCCUCCAGCAACAGCAGGCCCUCAUGCUCCAACAGCAGCAGCUUCAAGAGUUUUAUAAAAAACAACAGGAACAGUUGCAGCUUCAACUUUUACAACAACAACAUGCUGGAAAACAGCCU
Molecule: non-coding RNA, 319 nt
Organism: Leptonychotes weddellii (Weddell seal)
Lineage: Eukaryota; Metazoa; Chordata; Mammalia; Carnivora; Phocidae
Source: RefSeq, a predicted model, not a curated record